AUGGCCGGCGCCGCCGCGGAAGGGGAGGCCGUCGUCGGAAGGGGAGCGCGCCAGUCAGCCAAGGUCAAGGCCAAGGCCAAGGUCGCGGCCGCGGAAGGGGAGGCGAUGGGGCCUCGCCUCAGCCUUAGCCUUUCUCCGGAUGCUCUUGAUCUGAUUGCCAAGAGGGAGGCCUUGCUCUCGGAGUUGGCCUCGCUCUCGUCGGAGCCUUCGCCCUCGCCGCCGCUCCCUGCAGCUUCGUCGUCGCCCCUCUGGUCCCUCAUCUUGUCCCGUUGCCUACCAUCAUCCCUACAGCCUGAGCCUGCUCCAGAGCCUGAGCAAUUCGACAGGUUGGAACACAACUGGAACAGUUCUAUGAUGAUGUUGCCGAGCCCCUCCGAGGUAGCAGCAGCUCAAGAUCAUCAACUUGUCAUGGAGGAAUGCCUUCGCCACUAUAACCUAAAUCAUCCGGAAAAUGAGUACGUACCUGCCCCUGGCAAGGUGACCAGGUACAGCAGUCCUCACAAUGGCUCUUGCUGGACUCAUGGCAACUUCGUCGCUAGCCCCAAGCACUCCAGCUACUUCUCCUUACUGCCCCCUAGACCAACUCUCUUCUUUUAUGAGCUUGUUACCAAAGAUGGUUUUCAAGGAGUUGUUUCGUGCACCCCGCUAGAUGAGCCAGUUACUGAAGCCUACAGUUUGUUUGGCCUUCAUCUUGGGUGGGGAACUCGUCGUGAUGGCAGUUCGGAUUGCCUUUGCAAUACAUGCAACCGUCUUGUUGAUAGCGAGGUUCCUUGUGUGGGGAAAGCAUUUCCGUGUGGACAUUACAAGGCAGAGUGUGUUUGUCAAAUGUGCUAUCUUCAGUCUGAAGUGCUGCAUCCAUCGCCAGAAAAAUUUGCGUUUGGAAAAUGA
This 888-nucleotide ribosomal RNA is filed under the name Triticum aestivum (bread wheat). RNAcentral's name for it is "partial small subunit ribosomal RNA". The record is from RNAcentral. Lineage: Eukaryota; Viridiplantae; Streptophyta; Magnoliopsida; Poales; Poaceae.